UAGAGUUUGAUCCUGGCUCAGAUUGAACGCUGGCGGCAGGCCUAACACAUGCAAGUCGAACGGUAGCACAGAGAGCUUGCUCUCGGGUGACGAGUGGCGGACGGGUGAGUAAUGUCUGGGAAACUGCCUGAUGGAGGGGGAUAACUACUGGAAACGGUAGCUAAUACCGCAUAAUGUCGCAAGACCAAAGAGGGGGACCUUCGGGCCUCUUGCCAUCGGAUGUGCCCAGAUGGGACUAGCUUGUUGGUGAGGUAACGGCUCACCAAGGCGACGAUCCCUAGCUGGUCUGAGAGGAUGACCAGCCACACUGGAACUGAGACACGGUCCAGACUCCUACGGGAGGCAGCAGUGGGGAAUAUUGCACAAUGGGCGCAAGCCUGAUGCAGCCAUGCCGCGUGUAUGAAGAAGGCCUUCGGGUUGUAAAGUACUUUCAGCGAGGAGGAAGGCGGUAAGGUUAAUAACCUUAUCGAUUGACGUUACUCGCAGAAGAAGCACCGGCUAACUCCGUGCCAGCAGCCACGGUAAUACGGAGGGUGCAAGCGUUAAUCGGAAUUACUGGGCGUAAAGCGCACGCAGGCGGUCUGUCAAGUCGGAUGUGAAAUCCCCGGGCUCAACCUGGGAACUGCAUUCGAAACUGGCAGGCUAGAGCUUUGUAAAGGGGGGGGGUAGGAAUUCCAGGGGGUAGCGGUGAAAUGGCGUAGAGAUCCUGGAGGAAAUACGGGGUGGGCCGAAGGCGGCCCUCCUGGACAAAGACUGACGCUCAGUGCGAAAGCCGUGGGGGAGCAAACAGGAUUAGAUAACCCUGGUAGUCCACGCGUAACGAUGCUCACAUUCUUGGGAGGGUUGUGCCCUUUGAAGCGUGCCUUUCAGAAGCUAACGCGUCAGUCGAUCGGCUUGGGGAGUACCGACGGCAAGUAAACUCUCAAUGGAA
Molecule: ribosomal RNA, 931 nt
Filed under: uncultured bacterium
Lineage: Bacteria
Description: bacterial SSU rRNA
Rfam family: Bacterial small subunit ribosomal RNA
Source: RNAcentral